This 423-nucleotide ribosomal RNA is filed under the name Triticum aestivum (bread wheat). RNAcentral's name for it is "partial small subunit ribosomal RNA". The record is from RNAcentral. Lineage: Eukaryota; Viridiplantae; Streptophyta; Magnoliopsida; Poales; Poaceae.
AUGCUACUCGUGCGUCCCACGUCCGCGGCCGCGCACGCGCCGCUGGCCGGCCGGUGUAUAUAUAGAGCGCGCGCUCACCUCCCCAGCAGCACCAACCGAGACAUCCAUCCGGCCAACAGCAGAAUUCCUCUGCAAGGACGACUUCGAAAUCCGAACUCAUCAUCCGUCAUGGCUUUGGAUGGCAGGGCCUUGCCGCAGCCGGCGCCCGCGUGCGUUCCCGCCGUCCAGGCGGUGAGGCCGUGGGCGGGGGACAGCGGUGCUAAUUCGUCUACGGAGGGAAGGGAAAGGGGCAUGCUGCAGGGGAGCGCCGUGGAGGUGGAUGUGCCGCUGCUGCGGGACGACGAGGGGAGGAUGAAGCGGGAGCUGGUCGCCUGGGCCAAGGCCGUGGCGUCCAUGGCCAUCAGGGAGUCGAUGCGGUGCUAA